UCAAGAAAUAGUUUAUAUAAAAUUUUAAUUUUGGAGAUUAAAGAUGGGGGUUUCUCUUUUCUUGAU
Molecule: transfer RNA, 66 nt
Filed under: Jebusaea hammerschmidtii
Lineage: Eukaryota; Metazoa; Arthropoda; Insecta; Coleoptera; Cerambycidae
Description: tRNA-Pro
Source: RNAcentral